Molecule: long non-coding RNA, 120 nt
Organism: Haliotis rubra (blacklip abalone)
Lineage: Eukaryota; Metazoa; Mollusca; Gastropoda; Lepetellida; Haliotidae
Exons: 3
Source: RefSeq, a predicted model, not a curated record
GGUUUUACGUCAAAUACGAAGAGGCGAGGAACUGAUGUUGUCUCAUGUUUAUUUACAGGUUUAUUAUUUGUUUUUUGUUUGUUGAAUGAAUAAUACUAAUGAAAUUAUAUUAAUAUAAUA